Molecule: ribosomal RNA, 784 nt
Filed under: Clostridioides difficile
Lineage: Bacteria; Bacillati; Bacillota; Clostridia; Peptostreptococcales; Peptostreptococcaceae
Description: bacterial LSU rRNA
Rfam family: Bacterial large subunit ribosomal RNA
Source: RNAcentral
UGGUCAAGUUAUUAAGGGUGCAGGGCGGAUGCCUUGGCACUAGGAGCCGAUGAAGGACGUGAUAAGCUGCGAUAAGCUUCGGGGAGUUGCACGUAAACUUUGAUCCGAAGAUUUCCGAAUGAGGAAACUCACUUAGAGUAAUGUCUAAGUAUCAUUAAGUGAAUACAUAGCUUAAUGAGGGGAACUCAGGGAACUGAAACAUCUAAGUACCUGAAGGAAGAGAAAGAAAUUCGAUUCCGUAAGUAGCGGCGAGCGAACGCGGAUUAGCCCAAACCAAUAAAGUUUUCUUUAUUGGGGUUGCGGACAUAUCAUAACGAAGAGGUAUCGUAAUUGAAGAGGUUUGGAAAGACCCACCACAGAAGGUAAUAGUCCUGUAUGUUAAACGAGAAGACUUUAGAUAUGAUCCAGAGUACCACGGGACACGUGAAACCCUGUGGGAAGCAGGAGGGACCACCCUCCAAGGCUAAAUACUACCUAGUGACCGAUAGCGUAUAGUACCGUGAGGGAAAGGUGAAAAGAACCCCGGGAGGGGAGUGAAAUAGGACCUGAAACCCUGCACUUACAAGCUGUGGAAGCACAUUUCUUGUGUGACCGCGUACUUUUUGUAGAACGGGCCAACGAGUUACGUUAAGUAGCAAGGUUAAGCACUUAAGGUGUGGAGCCGUAGCGAAAGCGAGUUUUAACUGAGCGUUCAGUUACUUGACGUAGACCCGAAACCGGGCGACCUACCCAUGAGCAGGAUGAAGCGAAAGUAAAAUUUCGUGGAGGUCCGAACCCACGAGCG